RNAcentral lists this ribosomal RNA (1440 nucleotides) under uncultured bacterium. RNAcentral's name for it is "bacterial SSU rRNA". It matches the Rfam family "Bacterial small subunit ribosomal RNA". The record is from RNAcentral.
AGGGUUUGAUCAUGGCUCAGAACGUACGCUGGCGGCACGCCUAACACAUGCAAGUCGAACGAAGUAGCAAUACUUAGUGGCAGACGGGUGAGUAACAUGUGGGUAUCUGCCCUUUGGCCUGGAAUAACACGAGGAAACUUGUGCUAAUACCGGAUAAGUCUUUACGGAGAAAGCUUUAUGCACCAUUGGAUGAGCCCGCACUUGAUUAGUUUGUUGGUGGGGUAAUGGCCUACCAAGACUGUGAUCAAUAGCUGAUUUGAGAGGAUGAUCAGCCACAUUGGGACUGAGACACGGCCCAAACUCCUACGGGAGGCAGCAGUGGGGAAUCUUGCACAAUGGAGGAAACUCUGAUGCAGCGAUGCCGCGUGAGUGAAGAAGGCCCUUGGGUUGUAAAGCUCUUUCGUCGGGGAAGAAAAUGACUGUACCCGAAUAAGAAGGUCCGGCUAACUUCGUGCCAGCAGCCGCGGUAAUACGAAGGGACCUAGCGUAGUUCGGAAUUACUGGGCUUAAAGAGUUCGUAGGUGGUUGAAAAAGUUAGUGGUGAAAUCCCAGAGCUUAACUCUGGAACUGCCAUUAAAACUUUUCAGCUAGAGUAUGAUAGAGGAAAGCAGAAUUUCUAGUGUAGAGGUGAAAUUCGUAGAUAUUAGAAAGAAUACCAAUUGCGAAGGCAGCUUUCUGGAUCAUUACUGACACUGAGGAACGAAAGCAUGGGUAGCGAAGAGGAUUAGAUACCCUCGUAGUCCAUGCCGUAAACGAUGUGUGUUAGACGUUGGAAAUUUAUUUUCAGUGUCGCAGCGAAAGCGAUAAACACACCGCCUGGGGAGUACGACCGCAAGGUUAAAACUCAAAUGAAUUGACGGGGACCCGCACAAGUAGUGGAGCAUGUGGUUUAAUUCGAAGAUACGCGCAGAACCUUACCAACACUUGACAUGUUCGUCGCGACUCUAAGAGAUUAGAGUUUUCGGUUCGGCCGGACGAAACACAGGUGCUGCAUGGCUGUCGUCAGCUCGUGUCGUGAGAUGUUGGGUUAAGUCCCGCAACGAGCGCAACCCUCACUUUUAGUUGCCAUCAUUAAGUUGGGCACUCUGAAAGAACUGCCAGUGAUAAGCUGGAGGAAGGUGGGGAUGACGUCAAGUCCUCAUGGCCCUUACGUGUUGGGCUACACACGUGCUACAAUGGUAUCUACAACAGGAAGCAAGACUGCGAGGUCAAGCAAAUCCUUAAAAGAUACCUCAGUUCGGAUUGCACUCUGCAACUCGAGUGCAUGAAGCUGGAAUUACUAGUAAUCGUGGAUCAGCGUGCCACGGUGAAUGCGUUCCCGGGUCUUGUACACACCGCCCGUCACACCAUGGGAGUUGGUUCUACCUUAAGGCAAGGUUUCAAACCCUUGACCACGGUAUAGUCAGCGACUGGGGUGAAGUCGUAACAAAGGUAGCCGUA